UAAGAUAGUAAGCGAUGAACUGUAAAUUCAUCAAUAAAGGUUAAGUCCUUUUCUUAU
This 57-nucleotide transfer RNA is filed under the name Pituna poranga. RNAcentral describes it as "tRNA-Tyr". Lineage: Eukaryota; Metazoa; Chordata; Actinopteri; Cyprinodontiformes; Rivulidae. The record is from RNAcentral.